Small nuclear RNA from Chelydra serpentina (North American snapping turtle), 175 nucleotides. Its record names the gene U4. It matches the Rfam family "U4 spliceosomal RNA". Rfam says of the family: U4 small nuclear RNA (U4 snRNA) is a component of the major U2-dependent spliceosome. The structure of U4 snRNA from yeast and human has been reported. The record is from Ensembl. Lineage: Eukaryota; Metazoa; Chordata; Testudines; Chelydridae.
AUAGCAGUGGCAGUAUCAUAGCCAAUGAGGUGAAUCCGAGGUGUGAUUAUUGCUAGUUGAAAACUUCUAAUGUUACAUUCUCUGCACACACCAAAAUAUUGAAGGUCAUCAUUCCAUCCCCAUUCUUUGCGCAAAGGUCCCAUUGUUAACAAUAGGAGUUCCCAGACUCGAAUGA